Molecule: transfer RNA, 78 nt
Filed under: Nocardioides dokdonensis FR1436
Lineage: Bacteria; Bacillati; Actinomycetota; Actinomycetes; Propionibacteriales; Nocardioidaceae
Description: tRNA-Pro
Source: RNAcentral
GAGACGGAUGCCGGAGGUGUACCAGGCGCCGUUGGGGUCGGCGGGCACCGAGUUGCGGUUCGUGACCACACCGGCGUC